UCCGUAAUUCACUGUCAGCGCUGUAAGCGUGACGUCAUUGCAGCGCUGAUACAGACUGGGUUCGGGAAGCACGCUUUUAGCGCUAUGAGCGUGCUCUAUCUUUGUUCAACUUCAAUAAAUAACAAAGAUAGAGCACGCUCGUAGCGCUAAAAGCGUGCUCUCCGAACCCAGUCACAGACGUUCCGUUUUUAAAAAUGCACUAUGGCGCAAAAUAGAGAAAACGGAACGGAGAUUGAGUACUGUACAGUUUGACAACAAAAGUAUGAACGUAUAUCGGCUGCGUAUAAAAAAUAAAAUAUGGAAAAAGCUACAAUAACUAUUACUAAUAAUAUUGCACAGAUUAUCGUGGAAACAAGUACCUCAAGUGAAUCUGACAAUGAUCCAGAUGGAUUAGAGGAACUUGUGGCAAUAUUAAAAGGACAAAGAACAAAUUAUGUGCCAAGAAUUCGAUGUUACGUCAUACUGAAAUACAUUUUAUUUUAUAUUAGAAUUAAUAACGCCCUUACUAGAAAAAAAUGGAAAAUUUGGUAGAUUUUCGAUCUUUCCUGAAAAGCAAUUAUUACUUUCUCUUUGGGUGAUAGAUGCAUAAGUGAUCGCUUUGAUGUUGGCAAAGCAACAGCAUGGAGAGCUGUUCGAAGAGUUGUCAAUGCUCUCUAUUCACUUCUUCAUACGUUUAUUAAGUGGCCGACAAGAGAAGAAGAACAUGGAAUAUUGUAAAAGAUAAAUGUGGUUUUCCAAAGGUAAUUGGAGCUAUUGAUGGAACACAUAUACGUAUUGCAGUACCCAAGAUUCAUCCUGAAUACAUACAUCAAUAGAAAAGGCUAUCACUCAAUUACAGAUUAUAUGUGAUUCUGACCUAAAAUUUAUACAUUGUUAUACUGGGCAAGUGGGAUCUGUGCAUGAUGCCAGAGUUUUUAAAUUAUCAAGAGUUUAUGAUUUAUGUGAAAACUACUUUUAUGAUAACAGUCAUAUAUUAGGUGAUGCAGCAUAUACAAUUGAUCCUUAUUAUUGAUCGUUAUGGUUCCUUAUAAAGAUAAUGGGCAUCUAACUGAAUCUCAAAUAAAAUAUAAUAUGUGUCAUGCACAAGGUUGAAUAAUGAUAGAGAGAGCAUUUUUUACUCAAAGGUAGAUUCCGCAGCAUAUUAGAUAAGUUACCUAUGACCAGAACAGAUUUGAUACCAAAAUACACAAUUGUGUAUUGCAUUUUGCAAAAUAUUUGUAUAUUACAAAAAGAUUUCAUCGAAAUUCCAUUUAUAGUUAAUGAACCGCAAUUUAUUUUACAUAAUGAUAUUAACAACAUUGAAAGAAAAAAUCAAGGAAUAGAGAAACGAAAUACAAUUACGUACUCAUUAAUGCAUGGAAAUAUAUAAACUAUAAUAAAAA
Long non-coding RNA from Cataglyphis hispanica, 1382 nucleotides. RefSeq lists it as uncharacterized. The transcript has 4 exons. Lineage: Eukaryota; Metazoa; Arthropoda; Insecta; Hymenoptera; Formicidae. The record is from RefSeq and is a predicted model, not a curated record.